GAUUCUUGAGCAAGCAAAUUUAAUGAGAGCAAAGAUAUAUGUAUUUAAACAUCCUACACCUCUCGUGAGUGAAAAUGAAUACAUACAUAUUGGAAGCACUGUUCUUCAGUUUGUACAAAUAAUCAAGUGCCAAUUACCUACUUAUAAUAUACAGAAAAAUCAACAAACGUUACAUUCUCAUUCUUUGGUGGGUAGCUAGACUAGCUCUGAUCUCAAUGAUCCUUGAAUCCUUGCUUAACCAAAAACGAAGAAAGCAAAUUUCUCCACAUUAUCAUAUCACCUCUCUAAGGUCAUCCAUUGGUAUUGCAAGACCUAUAGAAUCAUGGUCUUGCAAGCCAUCAUCGUCAAAAUUCAACCAUGAACAGAGAUCUUGUGGCCCACCAAGGUCAUUGGAUACAUCUAGUCCAAUUGUAUCUAAUUCGUUUAGCUGCAAGUUUGCAAAAUCGACGGGUCCACCUGCUUCUUUAGAAGCAUCCUGAGGGAUGUUACCACGAGACAGUGACCCAACUUCUGUGUCUAUUUUAUUGCUAGCAUUAACCACUGAAUGGCCAGAUCCACGAGGUCCAUUUCCAGAUGUUGACAAAUGAUUAAUCUUUUGCUUGGGCUUUGAUUUUGUUUUGCGUUCACUUUUGAAGCCAUCCAAUGAUGCACGACUAGUUCCAGAAACAGAAUUA
This 674-nucleotide unclassified non-coding RNA is filed under the name Hevea brasiliensis (rubber tree). Lineage: Eukaryota; Viridiplantae; Streptophyta; Magnoliopsida; Malpighiales; Euphorbiaceae. The record is from RNAcentral.